This is a long non-coding RNA of Vulpes vulpes (red fox), 1066 nucleotides long. NCBI's taxonomy places the organism in Eukaryota, Metazoa, Chordata, Mammalia, Carnivora, Canidae. The record is from Ensembl.
CUAAAUCCCACAGCAAGACAAUCAAAUGUCUCUAUCAGGAAGCACAUUCGUCCACUUCCUCUUCCCCUCUCUUCUACAACCACUUUCCAGGGAGAGCAAAAGUCUAGUCAGCAUAAUAAAACCUGCCACGUCAGCCUAAUGAGGGUCAUGUGUGUUUUUUCAAACAUCCCUUAAGGGCUUCAGUUCAUCUCAUCAAGGCUGUUUCCCUUGGUGUUUUUAUCAGAAAACUUUGUGCAUGACAGUCAAUACGUGCUUAUGCAAAUCAAUAAGGUAGGCAACAGUGCAGCUCUGACGCUGGACUUAAGCUGAGACUUAAUUGGCAUCUAGGAAGUAAAAAAGACUUUUGUUUUCUAAUUCCUUCUUGUUAGGACUCAUUGGAAACCCACCAUAGUUUUAUGGGCUAUCAGAUCAAGUUAAUUGUAAUAAGGAUCCAUCUUAAAUUCUCACCAAAGGGCUGUUCUUAAAGUGGCAUUGUCUUAAAUGGUCCCUUAGCACAGACUAGAGGACAGUGUAAUUGCAAAGUGAGCAGAUGGUCUGGGUGGACUGAAAAUAUGGAUAUCACCUGUCUGUCCUGGGUGGCCAGCCAGAUGCAAAUCCAUUUGGGAUAAAGACUUUAGGCUAGAAGCCAAUGGCCUCCAAAUGGGAAGUUUUAUCUUUUCCCUGAGGAAUAUGAAGACGGGAGUUGAGACAUCAUACACCAUUGGACAAAGUAGAUGGAAACAUUCUUUGUUCUAAGGAGAAAGCCAAGUGCACAUGCAUGAGCAAACCAGAUUACACAAGGUUGAAGAGUAGCUGCUUGAUGCCUUGUCCAGGCUCAGGUUGGGACCAGGGCCAUAGGAUGUUUGACCAUCAUCUGAGCACGGAGUUACAAGAGGGGUUCAAGUUCAAGUUCUCAGAAGUCUGCUGCCCUGGCACCAAAAUUCUGGCCUCAUGCCACCCUAACGAUGAACUGAGAAUCAUUAUGAAUUCCCAGGGGAAGUACCUCCACAUUUUAAUUCCUUAUGGUCAUGUGGUGGGAAGCCCAGCUGAAGAGAACUUUCAGAUUAAAGACAAGGAAGAAACCUGA